This 62-nucleotide transfer RNA is filed under the name Camelus bactrianus (Bactrian camel). It matches the Rfam family "tRNA". From Rfam's summary of the family: Transfer RNA (tRNA) molecules are approximately 80 nucleotides in length. Their secondary structure includes four short double-helical elements and three loops (D, anti-codon, and T loops). Further hydrogen bonds mediate the characteristic L-shaped molecular structure. tRNAs have two regions of fundamental functional importance: the anti-codon, which is responsible for specific mRNA codon recognition, and the 3' end, to which the tRNAs corresponding amino acid is attached (by aminoacyl-tRNA synthetases). tRNAs cope with the degeneracy of the genetic code in two manners: having more than one tRNA (with a specific anti-codon) for a particular amino acid; and 'wobble' base-pairing, i.e. permitting non-standard base-pairing at the 3rd anti-codon position. RNAcentral also lists the same sequence under 2 other names. The record is from Rfam by way of RNAcentral. Lineage: Eukaryota; Metazoa; Chordata; Mammalia; Artiodactyla; Camelidae.
GAGGAUAUAGCUUAGUGGUAGAGUGGGUGCUGAGGUCCUGGGUUCAAUCCCCAGUACCUCCA